CCUCCGUUUACCUUAUCCCCAGCUGGUCCCUGAGGGACCAGUUUUACAAAUAGCAACUAUGGUUUGGAGCUGAGUUUCGACACCAGCUCUGUAUCCUGUGUCAGAUUACAUCUCUAUGAAUAUUCCACCGACUGCACAGCUCUGAAGAGAAGUUUCCGCUUUCAGGCCAUUUCAACUUCAGUCGCUCCCACCCCUGACAGCGAUCUUUGAAACUGAUAGGGCCCUGAUAGAAGCCAGAAGAAAUUUUUAAAAAAUAUUAAUAAUCAUGGGCGAGGUUCCCAGUCUUUGUAAUCUUGUGGAAGAGCUCCCUGGAGGAAAGCACACUUGAACUGAACACAUGCCCACGCGAGCUCGUCCAUGGAAAAGGCUACUCGGAAAUGCAUAGAUGUUUUGCAGAGAAUUUCUAUGAUGGGGGAGAAGAGGAUAAGUCAGUCGUCUGCACUUACCACCUUUUCCCUGAGGAACUUGAAAGACCAUCUUUAAACACUCAGGUCUGUUCCCACUGCAAAAGAAGCCCCACAGCACCCAGGCAUUCAGUGGAGAAGACUAACCUCUUAGGAGCAGCGCAGCUCUGCCAUGCACCACCUCCAGCAUGUGCCAGCUCAUUGGGGUGGGGGUGAGGGGGCAGGGAAAAUUAGUAUCUGCUUCGAGCUGGUCAUUUCCUCACCUGUAAAAUGAUGAUAGUCACAGUUACUGCAAAAUAGUCACUGUCUCCACAUGGAAUAAAGGACAUCAAAUUCUUUACUGGAUUCCCUGGAACACAGUACCUCCUUGCUGAAACUUAACUAUUUCUAACUUACUUCACCCUGUAUGACAGACUCAAGGUCCAUGAGAAAAGCAAAUAUCAUAUAUUAACGCAUAUUCAUGGGAUCUAGAAAAAUGGUACAGAUGAACCUAUUCACAGGGCAGGAAUAGAGAUGCAGAUGCAGAGAAUGGACAUGCAGACAUGAGGCGAAGGGGAGGGUGGGAUGAAAUGGAAGAUUAGGAUUGACGUAUAUACACUGUCACGUGUAAAAGAGAUAGCUAGUAGGAAGCUGCUAUGUAGCACAGGGAGUUCAGUCUGGUGGUCUGUGAUGACCUAGAGGGGUGGGAUUGGGGGUGGGAGGGAAAGGUUCAAGAGGGAGGGGAUAGAUAUAUAUACACGAUUCACUUUGUUGUAUAGCAGACACUAACACAACUUUGAAAGCAAUUACAAUUAGAAAUAAUAAUUAUAAAACUUUAAAUUUUAAAAAUUAAUAACUAAUUUUUAAAUUGCUUAAAGAAACUUAACUAUUGUAGCUGCUAUGUGCUUCCUGACCACCUCGGGACCUAUAGAUGCAUCCCAGAUACCCUUCCCUUUGUAAAUCUAAAAUAAGAAUUAAGUUGUAUAUAGCAGUACAUCCAUGAAGAAGAUACUGGUGAUUAGACUGACCGUAGCCACUUGCAACAAGUAUGCUCUGAUUCCAACAGCUAAGAGGCAGCAGCCUGCAAUGAAAACAGUUAGCCCUGAUUUUUAAACAAUGCCUUUAAAAAUGUUUCCUUCUGAAAUACAUUAUAAAUGGCAUCAGGAAUUUUCCAAACUGCCAUGAUCAAAAUACACGAUCUUAAAAUCAUAAUUCUCUACAACAUACCAAAAUCGUAGUCAGCCUAAAGAUUCUCAGAAAUUUUGAAUUCUGAAUGCCUUAAAAAAAAAUUCAAUUCAAAUAAAAUCAGACUAAGUACUUUGUUAUGAAAAUACAAUCUGAGAUUCUGUAUUUGAGGAACACUCUUACAAGCAUUUAGUAAGUUAUAAUUUAAAACUUCUACUCAAGUUCAAGUUGACAGUUAGGGACUAAAUAAAUAGAAACUAAAUUGAUGAAUAGUAUCUUUCUUACAGCUGUGGGCUCCAUUUGCUACUCUAAUCUCCAGCAGGGAAUAUUAGCUCAAUAAAACAAAUAUUUUUAAUUUCUUCUAUGCAUUUCCUCAAACCAUGCCAAUGCACUUAUCUAUGGCUCACUUAUCUAUGGCUCACUUAAAAAAUUUGUUAAGUACCCCCCUUCACUUACUUAAAAGAGGAUGUUUGAUGUCCUAACAACAAUGGAGUAAUGGGCAUGAGGGCAUAUUGUUUUCAGGCGCUGAGCCCUUAAUCACUUCCAGUUCUGAUUCAUCAGAAAAAUAGUGCUCUUGAGGGAUUUUUUUUUUUGGUCACAAAAUAUUGUCUUUAAUUUUGAGAUACUUACUUCUUGCCAGAAAAUGAUACUGUAUUUUUGUCCUAAUGAUGAAGGAUGAAAGAUGGGGAGAAUUCCAUUUGGUGAUUAUUGGACCACAAAGAAGUAAACUGAUUCAGAAAACAAAUCCCCAGAAGAAAAAUAAAACAUAUAAUGUGAGGUGGGAGCAUGGAAUUCUUGGCAUCUAUUCAAUUGGGGCCAGGAUUGGUAAUUUAAUAACAUCCUUGUUUUGUUAAUAUUUGGGGGUGGGGUAAAGCUCUAGGGCUUUAGCUUUGGGCCAGAUUCCUUCUACUCCCCACCAUUACCUCAACCAGCAACAGUGUUUAAAGACAUAAAUCCCAGGGGCCUCACAAAGGAUUGUUAAAUCACAGGCUGCGGGCAGGGGUUCAAGAUGCCAUCCUUCCCACGUAAGCCAAAGCGAGGAGGGAACCCUGAUCUCCUCAGUUCAGUGGGCAAUGGGAACGCGUCCAAAGAAAGCCCACUCUGACCACUGUCCCCAGAGGCCCUGAGCAUCACACCCGAAUCAGAGCAGAUGGGUGAUCUCAUGAAGAGAAACCUGCCAAUUGCCACAAUUCUGCCAAAACAUUCUGAUUCAUGGGGUAAUUGUGCCACUUUCCUUCAGACUGAUCCUUCUAGCUUCCCCUGCUGGUUACUGGGCAGAGUUUGGAAGGGAAAAAAAAAAAAAACAGCUUCGACUUUGGAAAUCCUGGCCACACCUGUGCACUCCAAAAAAAACAUACCUGAGUGAUGCGUGUGGUAAAGGAAUUCAAGUUGGUGCUUCAGUAAAUUCUGCCUUUUCCUGGGACCUGGAGGUCAUGGAGUGUGUCAUUUUUUUUUAGCUCUGGUUCUCUUUCAAGUUUAAAUGAGGGGAUAAAAUAGCACAGGAAAAAAAUGAAAAUAAAAAACAAAAACAUUCAAAUUGAAGAGGGUGACAGGUUUAAUCCAAACUCAGUCCCAAACACAGUUCUGAGUUGUCACUUUCUUCCAUGACCUUUUAAUUCCUAGAUUUAUGUAAUGUGUAGGAAUAAAACAAAUAUAAUUAUUAAAAGUCUUACCAAUGUUAUGAUCUCCAUGAUGGUAUAAGAGAAACAUUAAACAGGUAACACAAGUGUGAUAGACAGUGCUACUAGUGAUGGUGGCAAUGGUGACUGUGAUGACGGAGGUGGAGGGGUGAUGAUGGUGGUGAUGAUGGAGGUGGAGGGGUGAUGGUGGUGGUGGUGUUGGAGGUGGAGGGGUGAUGAUGGUGAUGGUGGUGAUGGAGGUGGAGGGGUGAUGAUGGUGGUGAUGAUGGAGGUGGAGGGGUUAUGAUGGUGGUGGUGAUGGAGGUGGAGGGGUGAUGAUGGUGGUGGUGAUGGAGGUGGAGGGGUGAUGAUGGUGGUGGUGGUGAUGGAGGUGGUGGAGGGGUGAUGAUGGUGGUGGUGAUGGAGGUGGUGGAGGGGUGAUGAUGGUGGUGGUGAUGGAGGUGGUGGAGGGGUGAUG
Bos taurus (domestic cattle) is the source of this 3665-nucleotide long non-coding RNA. NCBI's taxonomy places the organism in Eukaryota, Metazoa, Chordata, Mammalia, Artiodactyla, Bovidae. The record is from Ensembl.